RNAcentral lists this ribosomal RNA (124 nucleotides) under Trichoderma virens. RNAcentral describes it as "partial large subunit ribosomal RNA". RNAcentral also lists the same sequence under 1 other name. Lineage: Eukaryota; Fungi; Ascomycota; Sordariomycetes; Hypocreales; Hypocreaceae. The record is from RNAcentral.
CGGCAACAGCUCAAAUUUGAAAUCUGGCCCCUCGGGGUCCGAGUUGUAAUUUGUAGAGGAUGCUUUUGGUGAGGUGCCGCCCGAGUUCCCUGGAACGGGACGCCACAGAGGGUGAGAGCCCCGU